Molecule: ribosomal RNA, 429 nt
Filed under: Pseudomonadota bacterium
Lineage: Bacteria; Pseudomonadati; Pseudomonadota
Description: Proteobacteria bacterium partial 16S ribosomal RNA
Rfam family: Bacterial small subunit ribosomal RNA
Source: RNAcentral
UGGGGAAUAUUGGACAAUGGGCGAAAGCCUGAUCCAGCCAUGCCGCGUGUGUGAAGAAGGUCUUCGGAUUGUAAAGCACUUUAAGUUGGGAGGAAGGGCAGUAAGCGAAUACCUUGCUGUUUUGACGUUACCGACAGAAUAAGCACCGGCUAACUCUGUGCCAGCAGCCGCGGUAAUACAGAGGGUGCAAGCGUUAAUCGGAAUUACUGGGCGUAAAGCGCGCGUAGGUGGUUCGUUAAGUUGAAUGUGAAAGCCCCGGGCUCAACCUGGGAACUGAAGCCAAAACUGGCGAGCUAGAGGAGGGCAGAGGGUGGUGGAAUUUCCUGUGUAGCGGUGAAAUGCGUAGAUAUAGGAAGGAACACCAGUGGCGAAGGCGACCACCUGGGCUCAUACUGACACUGAGGUGCGAAAGCGUGGGGAGCAAACAGG